GUUCCCGGCAUUCCCUGGGGCGGCGGGGUUGGCUCUAACGAAUUUGAAUGAGGAGCCUCAGCGCUUUCGGCGCCAUUUUCGAGUGAUGCCUGAUCUCAUCAAUCUAGCGGGAGAGACAGGAUAACCUGUCCGAGAGUAUAGCGCCACUAUGACUCCGCCGGAAAAAUUACUUUAAAAAUCGCCAAAAAUUACUUGGAGCAAAGGGCAGUCGGCGGAGCUUCGCCAAGGCUGGCGCAGUCGGUUUUGACCUGUAGCAGAGAACCAAUUCUGGAGAACAGCCUCACUUCUUUGAUUGAAUACUUACAUAAUGCAUUGGAACAUGACAUGAGAUUAAGGUUUAAUAAUGAUAGAAUGAAGACCACAAUAAAAGAGACCUCUACUUAGCUCAGCAAUUCUUACCUUUCUUACCUAUUUGAUGAAGAUGUCUUUUGAAAGGUGUACUGCAAGGAACAAAAUGUUUGUAAAUUCUCCUUUUACCAAGGUGGAUAAUUACUGUACCUUCCUCAUGGAAAAAGUUUUAUUUAAAGUGUUAUUUCUCAUUGAAUACUAUCAAAAAGGAAAAAAAAAUGACCUAAACUUUUGAGAUAGAUUUGGCUCUAAUCGACACCUUGACUGUGUGAGACGUGAUUAACAAAAAGGAAAACUACCCCCACUGGAAGUUGUUAAAGGAAAGGCAAUGCAAAUGAAAAAAAAGAAAAAGAAUUUCUAAAAGUUUUAUCAGACAAAAAUUUAAUUGAAUCAAUGGGGCAAUCUGGAGUUCUGGAUGAUUCUGUUAAUUGAAGUUUACAAUCACUUUUAUUUUAUUUUUAUUUAUUUACUUAUUUUGAGACAGAGUCUCACUCUGUUACCAGGCUGGAAUGCAGUGGCGCGAUCUCAGCUUACUGCAACCUCCGCCUCCCUGGACCAAGCGAUUCUCAUGUCUCAGCUUCCUGAGUAGCUGGGAUUACAUGCGUGCACCACCACACCCAGCUGAUUUUUUUUUUUUUUUUCUUUUUGAGACAGAGUCUUGCUCUGUCGCCCAGGCUGGAGUGCAGUGGCGUGAUCUUGGCUCACUGCAAGCUCCGUCUCCUGGGUUCACGCCAUUCUCCUGCUUCAGCCUCCCGAGUACCUGGAACUACAGGCACCCAUUACCACACCUGGCUAAUUUUUUGUAUUUUUAGUAGAGACGGGGUUUCACCGUGUUAGCCAAGAUGGUCUCAAUCUCCUGACCUUGAGACCAUCCUGACCUUGUGAUCUGCCCGUCUCAACCUCCCAAAGUGCUGGGAUUACAGGCAUGAACCACCGCGCCCGGCCGUUUUUUUGUUAUUUUUAUAGAGACGGGGUUUCACCAUGUUGGCCAGGCUGGUCUCGAACUCCUGACCUCAGGUGACCCGCCCGCCUCGGCCCUCCAAAGUGCUGGGAUUACAGGCAUCAGCCACUGCACCUGGCCUAGUUUUUAAAAAAAUUUUAUUUAACACCUGUAAAGCUUCUGGAGUAUAAUCAUUUUAAACCUUGUUUGAAUAUUUUCUAAAACAUUAAUAAAAAUGGUAAUAUUUCAAUAUAUUUUCUUGCCUUAAUAAAGUAUAUGCUGAAUAUCAUUACAUUUUAUAAAUAAAGACAUACCUUAUUAUCAAGUCUUAUGUAAUACAGUAGUGUCUCCCAUUUUCCAUGUAGUUACACACAGUCAACUGAAGUCUGGAAAUAUUAAAUGGAAAACUCCAGAAAUAAACAACGUUUAAGUUUCAAA
Homo sapiens (human) is the source of this 1726-nucleotide long non-coding RNA. The record is from Ensembl. Lineage: Eukaryota; Metazoa; Chordata; Mammalia; Primates; Hominidae.